UGUCAUUGGUGCCUGCCCCUUGUGACCCUAGGCUCUAAAAUCCCAUGAAAACAGAUGCCAUUCAGAUGGGUUCUAUGUGCUCCAUGCAUGUUCAACAGGGAAUACACCAGGGAGCUGGAGGAUGCAACUAUGGCAUGUCUGCAGCUCCAAAUGUCUGAGGUGCCAGCUGAGAGAUGGAAACAUCAGACCCAGAGCAAUACAAGGGCAUUUACACCAUACUCCACCCAGAAGAGUGGAAAAGCCAGUGACUGAAACAGACCCAAGUGAGAUUAGCAAGCAGUGAAAAAUUAGACAAACAAAGGAGGUGAGUCACCUGUCACCUGUAACAAAACUUCUCAGCCUAUCAUUCCUAGAUUCUUC
Molecule: long non-coding RNA, 360 nt
Filed under: Anas platyrhynchos (mallard)
Lineage: Eukaryota; Metazoa; Chordata; Aves; Anseriformes; Anatidae
Description: lncRNA (ENSAPLG00020012245.1)
Source: RNAcentral